RNAcentral lists this ribosomal RNA (435 nucleotides) under uncultured bacterium. RNAcentral describes it as "partial 16S ribosomal RNA". It matches the Rfam family "Bacterial small subunit ribosomal RNA", at positions 29 to 507 of the family's 1533-position model. The record is from RNAcentral.
AGCGAACGCUGGCGGCAGGCUUAACACAUGCAAGUCGAGCGGGCAUCUUCGGAUGUCAGCGGCAGACGGGUGAGUAACACGUGGGAACGUACCCUUCGGUUCGGAACAACUCUGGGAAACUGGAGCUAAUACCGGAUUCGCCCUUAUGGGGAAAGGUUUACUGCCGAAGGAUCGGCCCGCGUCUGAUUAGCUAGUUGGUGGGGUAACGGCCUACCAAGGCGACGAUCAGUAGCUGGUCUGAGAGGAUGAUCAGCCACACUGGGACUGAGACACGGCCCAGACUCCUACGGGAGGCAGCAGUGGGGAAUAUUGGACAAUGGGCGCAAGCCUGAUCCAGCCAUGCCGCGUGAGUGAUGAAGGCCUUAGGGUUGUAAAGCUCUUUUGUCCGGGACGAUAAUGACGGUACCGGAAGAAUAAGCCCCGGCUAACUUCGUG